GGGAAUGGGGCCUUGGCUCAAUGGCAGAGCAUUUGCUCUGUGUGUAGAAGGUCUCAAGUUCAAUUCCUGGCACCUCUG
This 78-nucleotide transfer RNA is filed under the name Sphaerodactylus townsendi. RNAcentral describes it as "tRNA-Thr". The record is from RNAcentral. Lineage: Eukaryota; Metazoa; Chordata; Lepidosauria; Squamata; Sphaerodactylidae.